This is a non-coding RNA of Leucoraja erinaceus (little skate), 833 nucleotides long. Lineage: Eukaryota; Metazoa; Chordata; Chondrichthyes; Rajiformes; Rajidae. The record is from the annotation of a RefSeq genome assembly.
UGAAUGUUGUAGAAAUACGAAUGCUGUUGAAGUGAAUAGACGCGCCGCCCCCUUUGCUCAGCACUAUCACUACUGAGGGAGUAAUCUCCGGAGAGCCAUGUUUCUAAUAUUGCGUCUGAUCAUCUCCUUCCACUAUGCAACGUCAGUGAUUGUCCAUCAGAGUCCGGGCGCUCUGUCCGAUUCUCCGGGCCAGAAGGUGGAGGUGAAAUGUACCAUCGAGGGCAGUAGCAAUACUGCAGAUAGGUUGUUCUGGUAUAGGCAAUACCGGGGAGAGGAGCCACAGAACAUGUUCUACUCUUUCGGAGAAAAUAGCGUGCAGUCAUCGAAAUCGGCGGAUGGUUUCACGGCAGAGAGACCGGGCAGCCACGAGUUCUACUUAAGGUCCUCUGACCUCAAGGCGACUGCAACGGCCGAGUAUUUCUGCGCCUGGAGUCUACACAGAGACUCUGAGAGACGGGGGAGGCACACAUAAACCUCCCACCCUCUCGCGCUGACAGUGAGCGCCCCCCUCCGGCCGUGGGAUUUUUGUGCGGCUCAUUGAUGCUCUCCGAGUAACUCUCUCGCAUAGAAACAAAGACAGAUAGAAAUUAGGUACAGGAGUAGGCCAUUCAGCCCUUCGAGCCAGCACCGCCAUUCAAUAUGAUCAUGGUUGAUGAUCCAACUCAGUAUCCCGUACCUGCCUUCUCUCCAUAUCCCCUGAUCCCAUUAGCCACAAGGGCCACAUCUAACUCCCUCUUAAAUAUAGCUAAUGAACUGGCCUCAACUAACUUCUGUGGCAGAGUUCCAGAGAUUCACCACUCUCUGUAUGAAAAUAUUUUUCUCAUCUCUCUCUC